CGCGUAGGCGGAUUAUCAAGUCUCUUGUGAAAUCUAAUGGCUUAACCAUUAAACUGCUUGGGAAACUGAUAGUCUAGAGUGAGGGAGAGGCAGAUGGAAUUGGUGGUGUAGGGGUAAAAUCCGUAGAUAUCACCAAGAAUACCCAUUGCGAAGGCGAUCUGCUGGAACUCAACUGACGCUAAGGCGCGAAAGCGUGGGGAGCAAACAGGAUUAGAUACCCUGGUAGUCCACGCCCUAAACGAUGUACACUAGUUGUUGGGAUGCUAGUCAUCUCAGUAAUGCAGCUAACGCAUUAAGUGUACCGCCUGGGGAGUACGGUCGCAAGAUUAAAACUCAAAGGAAUAGACGGGGACCCGCACAAGCGGUGGAGCAUGUGGUUUAAUUCGAAGAUACGCGAAGAACCUUACCUGGGCUUGAUAUCCUAAGAACCUUAUAGAGAUAUGAGGGUGCUAGCUUGCUAGAACUUAGAGACAGGUGCUGCACGGCUGUCGUCAGCUCGUGUCGUGAGAUGUUGGGUUAAGUCCCGCAACGAGCGCAACCCACGUAUUUAGUUGCUAACGGUUCGGCCGAGCACUCUAAAUAGACUGCCUUCGUAAGGAGGAGGAAGGUGUGGACGACGUCAAGUCAUCAUGGCCCUUAUGCCCAGGGCGACACACGUGCUACAAUGGCAUAUACAAUGAGACGCAAUACCGCGAGGUGGAGCAAAUCUAUAAAAUAUGUCCCAGUUCGGAUUGUUCUCUGCAACUCGAGAGCAUGAAGCCGGAAUCGCUAGUAAUCGUAGAUCAGCCAUGCUACGGUGAAUACGUUCCCGG
Molecule: ribosomal RNA, 812 nt
Filed under: uncultured Campylobacter sp.
Lineage: Bacteria; Pseudomonadati; Campylobacterota; Epsilonproteobacteria; Campylobacterales; Campylobacteraceae
Description: bacterial SSU rRNA
Rfam family: Bacterial small subunit ribosomal RNA
Source: RNAcentral